AGAGCAGGAUGUAUUUCACUUUAGUUUUUGCAUCCUAGGCACUUAGCACAUUGUCUAUACAUAUUAAGUGCUUAAUAAAUGCUUGUUAAUUGAUUGGGCUUGAGAUGAAUGAUUACCAUGAGAUUUUUGCAGUCAUCGGUGAAUCUCUUUUGUCCUUGCUCUCAGAUCUGGUAAAAGGGCAAAGCAGCAACCUCCAGAUACAAUGUGCAGCACAAUUCGCCAGAACAAUAACUAGGAGUUGCUAAGAAGAGAAUGAGUUGGAAACUCCAUGCCUCAGGUUGGUGCCAUCCAUAAAGCCAAGAUAAUACAUAAACAGCUAAACAGCUAGUGGGACAACUAGGACAGAAAUGGCAGAAAACGUGACAGCCAAGAGAAGAAGCAAGAAUGGAGAGAACCCUGGAUAAUGGCACCGAGAUACCAUCGUGAAUGUUAUUCCCUGGCUGUUAUACAUGACUGGGAGACCCCAGUUGGUUAUGUCCUAUGAGAACCCAUAUCCUCUGUACCUCCUGAAGAGAAAUAUAUGGGGAAGAAUGUCUACAUAGGGGAGCCAGCAGGAUCCUACAGUAACUAGAUAGCCAAAACCUCAUUUGUGGCUAAUCCUUCAUUCUCACUGCAGCAGGGGGAAGGAAAAGUUUGAGUCCACACCUAAACUGUUUCUUUUCUUGAACUCCUAGGCUUGGGGACGUGUUCAGACUGCUUUCAGUUGCCUAGGUUUGGGAACAUCUGUCCUUGUGCCAUCUGUACUGUAGUUUUAAAAAUACAGUUAACUUUAUUUCUUUUGUUUUACUGGUCAUGAGCAAAUUCAUGCUUAUGCAGUCAAUUCAUGCUUGCGUGAACUGACUCAAUGAUGCCAUGCUCAUAUGAUUUGAGUCUAUUGAAAUAUAGCAUGGAAGGGAAGAGGGUGGAGUCUCCUAGCCAGGGGCUGAAUCAAGAAACUAAUUGUAUAAAUCCAUGCAGAUCACAGCCGUAGAUUAAUGAGAUGAUGAUGGCCAUCUCAUAAAGUUUACAGCAAAAGCUCAGGACCUCAGAUUGCCAGAAACUCCCAGGGGAAGACAAUUUUUAAACCAAGGCUAGGGUCCACAAAGUCCUUGGCUUAGCUCCACUUACUAGCCCUGUAUCUACUUCCCCCCCCCCCGUUUCCCCCCCACACACAUACCAUUCCCAUUCAAUUAUAAUGGAUAAUUGAGUUUUGAUUGCAUCAUGAUUUCAGUUAUUCUUUUUGGAAGCCAGUGAUGUUAGAUUUCC
RNAcentral lists this long non-coding RNA (1245 nucleotides) under Phascolarctos cinereus (koala). Its description in RNAcentral is "lncRNA (ENSPCIG00000035843.1)". The record is from RNAcentral. Lineage: Eukaryota; Metazoa; Chordata; Mammalia; Diprotodontia; Phascolarctidae.